UAUCAGAAGACCUGCAAUUUCUA
Molecule: non-coding RNA, 23 nt
Filed under: Arabidopsis thaliana (thale cress)
Lineage: Eukaryota; Viridiplantae; Streptophyta; Magnoliopsida; Brassicales; Brassicaceae
Source: RNAcentral